Molecule: signal recognition particle RNA, 264 nt
Filed under: Chloroflexota bacterium
Lineage: Bacteria; Bacillati; Chloroflexota
Description: Chloroflexi bacterium signal recognition particle sRNA large type
Rfam family: Bacterial large signal recognition particle RNA
About the family: The signal recognition particle (SRP) is a universally conserved ribonucleoprotein involved in the co-translational targeting of proteins to membranes.
Source: RNAcentral
CCGUGCUAGGCGGGGAACUAGCGGUGCCCUGUACCUGCAAUCCGCUCCAGCAGGGCUGAAUUCCCACCCGAGGUCAACGUCUCCGAAGGCCGCCGGCCCGGACGGUGCCGAGGACCGGGUCCCGCGCAGCGACGACACGCGAACCGCGUCAGGUCCGGAAGGAAGCAGCGCUAAGCGAGGCUCGUCGGGUGCCGCGGCACGGCCUGGUCUGAGCCGUCUCUCCCGGGGGGCGCGGGGGCGCGUCGAUCGACGGUGGGUGCACGG